GGGGUUGUAGCUCAGUGGUAGAGCACUCGCCUAGCAUGUGUGAGGCCCUGGGUUCAAUCUUCAGCACCA
RNAcentral lists this transfer RNA (69 nucleotides) under Ictidomys tridecemlineatus (thirteen-lined ground squirrel). RNAcentral's name for it is "Spermophilus tridecemlineatus (thirteen-lined ground squirrel) tRNA". It matches the Rfam family "tRNA". Rfam says of the family: Transfer RNA (tRNA) molecules are approximately 80 nucleotides in length. Their secondary structure includes four short double-helical elements and three loops (D, anti-codon, and T loops). Further hydrogen bonds mediate the characteristic L-shaped molecular structure. tRNAs have two regions of fundamental functional importance: the anti-codon, which is responsible for specific mRNA codon recognition, and the 3' end, to which the tRNAs corresponding amino acid is attached (by aminoacyl-tRNA synthetases). tRNAs cope with the degeneracy of the genetic code in two manners: having more than one tRNA (with a specific anti-codon) for a particular amino acid; and 'wobble' base-pairing, i.e. permitting non-standard base-pairing at the 3rd anti-codon position. Lineage: Eukaryota; Metazoa; Chordata; Mammalia; Rodentia; Sciuridae. The record is from Rfam by way of RNAcentral.